GACGAACGCUGGCGGCGUGCCUAAUACAUGCAAGUCGAGCGGGUCUGCUUUGGUAGUUUACUAUUGAGGCAGGCCAGCGGCGGACGGGUGAGUAACGCGUGGGCAACCUGCCCUGUAGUCUGGGAUAACAGGUCGAAAGGCCUGCUAAUACCGGAUGAGCUUAGCAUCUCGCAUGGGGUGUAAGGGAAGGGGGAACCCGCUACAGGAUGGGCCCGCGUCCCAUUAGCUAGUUGGUGAGGUAACGGCUCACCAAGGCGACGAUGGGUAGCCGGCCUGAGAGGGCGACCGGCCACACUGGGACUGAGACACGGCCCAGACUCCUACGGAGGCAGCAUG
Molecule: ribosomal RNA, 336 nt
Filed under: uncultured bacterium
Lineage: Bacteria
Description: bacterial SSU rRNA
Rfam family: Bacterial small subunit ribosomal RNA
Source: RNAcentral